RNAcentral lists this ribosomal RNA (456 nucleotides) under uncultured Rhodoferax sp. RNAcentral describes it as "bacterial SSU rRNA". It matches the Rfam family "Bacterial small subunit ribosomal RNA", at positions 924 to 1382 of the family's 1533-position model. The record is from RNAcentral. Lineage: Bacteria; Pseudomonadati; Pseudomonadota; Betaproteobacteria; Burkholderiales; Comamonadaceae.
CACAAGCGGUGGAUGAUGUGGUUAAUUCGAUGCAACGCGAAAACCUUACCCACCUUUGACAUGUACGGAACCCUUUAGAGAUAGAGGGGUGCUCGAAAGAGAGCCGUAACACAGGUGCUGCAUGGCUGUCGUCAGCUCGUGUCGUGAGAUGUUGGGUUAAGUCCCGCAACGAGCGCAACCCUUGUCAUUAGUUGCUACAUUCAGUUGGGCACUCUAAUGAGACUGCCGGUGACAAGCCGGAGGAAGGUGGGGAUGACGUCAAGUCCUCAUGGCCCUUAUAGGUGGGGCUACACACGUCAUACAAUGGCUGGUACAAAGGGUUGCCAACCCGCGAGGGGGAGCCAAUCCCAUAAAGCCAGUCGUAGUCCGGAUCGUAGUCUGCAACUCGACUACGUGAAGUCGGAAUCGCUAGUAAUCGUGGAUCAGAAUGUCACGGUGAAUACGUUCCCGGGUCUU